UACGGGGGGGGGCAAGCGUUGUUCGGAAUUACUGGGCGUAAAGGGCUCGUAGGCGGCCAACUAAGUCAGACGUGAAAUCCCCAGGCUCAACCUGGGAACUGCGUCUGAUACUGGAUGGCUUGAAUUCGGGAGAGGGAUGCAGAAUUCCAGGUGUAGCGGUGAAAUGCGUAGAUAUCUGGAGGAACACCAAUGGCGAAGGCAGCACUCUGGGACGUGACUGACGCUGAGACGCGAAAGCGUGGGGAGCAAACAGG
This 254-nucleotide ribosomal RNA is filed under the name uncultured bacterium. RNAcentral's name for it is "partial 16S ribosomal RNA". It matches the Rfam family "Bacterial small subunit ribosomal RNA", at positions 524 to 776 of the family's 1533-position model. The record is from RNAcentral.